AUUUGGUUUAGUAAAGACAUAAG
This 23-nucleotide non-coding RNA is filed under the name Cricetulus griseus (Chinese hamster). Lineage: Eukaryota; Metazoa; Chordata; Mammalia; Rodentia; Cricetidae. The record is from RNAcentral.